UACGUAGGUGGCGAGCGUUGUCCGGAUUUACUGGGCGUAAAGGGAGCGUAGGCGGACUUUUAAGUGAGAUGUGAAAUACUCGGGCUCAACUUGAGUGCUGCAUUUCAAACUGGAAGUCUAGAGUGCAGGAGAGGAGAAUGGAAUUCCUAGUGUAGCGGUGAAAUGCGUAGAGAUUAGGAAGAACACCAGUGGCGAAGGCGAUUCUCUGGACUAUAACUGACGCUGAGGCUCGAAAGCGUGGGGAGCAAACAGG
This 253-nucleotide ribosomal RNA is filed under the name uncultured bacterium. RNAcentral describes it as "partial 16S ribosomal RNA". It matches the Rfam family "Bacterial small subunit ribosomal RNA", at positions 524 to 776 of the family's 1533-position model. The record is from RNAcentral.